GACGAACGCUGGCGGCGUGCUUAACACAUGCAAGUCGAACGGUGAAGCGCCUUCCUUUUUGGUGGGUGUGGAUGAGUGGCGAACGGGUGAGUAACACGUGAGUAACCUGCCCCCUUCUUCUGGAUAACCGCAUGAAAGUGUGGCUAAUACGGGAUAUUCUGGGUCUGUCGCAUGAUGGGUCUGGGAAAGAUAUUGUUUCGGUGGGGGAUGGGCUCGCGGCCUAUCAGCUUGUUGGUGGGGUGAUGGCCUACCAAGGCGGUGACGGGUAGCCGGCCUGAGAGGGUGGACGGUCACACUGGGACUGAGACACGGCCCAGACUCCUACGGGAGGCAGCAGUGGGGAAUAUUGCACAAUGGGCGCAAGCCUGAUGCAGCGACGCCGCGUGAGGGAUGGAGGCCUUCGGGUUGUGAACCUCUUUCGCCAGUGAAGCAGGCCUGCCUCGGUGGUGGGUGGGUGGACGGUAGCUGGAUAAGAAGCGCCGGCUAACUACGU
This 493-nucleotide ribosomal RNA is filed under the name uncultured bacterium. Its description in RNAcentral is "partial 16S ribosomal RNA". It matches the Rfam family "Bacterial small subunit ribosomal RNA", at positions 28 to 506 of the family's 1533-position model. The record is from RNAcentral.